Molecule: ribosomal RNA, 550 nt
Filed under: uncultured bacterium
Lineage: Bacteria
Description: bacterial SSU rRNA
Rfam family: Bacterial small subunit ribosomal RNA
Source: RNAcentral
UAGGGAAUCUUCGGCAAUGGGGGCAACCCUGACCGAGCAACGCCGCGUGAGUGAAGAAGGUUUUCGGAUCGUAAAGCUCUGUUGUAAGAGAAGAACGAGUGUGAGAGUGGAAAGUUCACACUGUGACGGUAACUUACCAGAAAGGGACGGCUAACUGCGUGCCAGCAGCCGCGGUAAUACGUAGGUCCCGAGCGUUAUCCGGAUUUAUUGGGCGUAAAGCGAGCGCAGGCGGUUAGAUAAGUCUGAAGUUAAAGGCUGUGGCUUAACCAUAGUACGCUUUGGAAACUGUUUAACUUGAGUGCAGAAGGGGAGAGUGGAAUUCCAUGUGUAGCGGUGAAAUGCGUAGAUAUAUGGAGGAACACCGGCGGCGAAAGCGGCUCUCUGGUCUGUAACUGACGCUGAGGCUCGAAAGCGUGGGGAGCAAACAGGAUUAGAUACCCUGGUAGUCCACGCCGUAAACGAUGAGUGCUAGGUGUUGGGUCCUUUCCGGGACUCAGUGCCGCAGCUAACGCAUUAAGCACUCCGCCUGGGGAGUACGACCGCAAGGUUG